This 207-nucleotide ribosomal RNA is filed under the name uncultured bacterium. Its description in RNAcentral is "partial 16S ribosomal RNA". It matches the Rfam family "Bacterial small subunit ribosomal RNA", at positions 568 to 774 of the family's 1533-position model. The record is from RNAcentral.
UACGUAGGCUGUUAAGUAAGUCAGAUGUGAAAGCCCCGGGCUCAACCUGGGAACUGCAUUUGAUACUGCUUGGCUAGAGUCUGGUAGAGGGUAGUGGAAUUCCACGUGUAGCGGUGAAAUGCGUAGAUAUGUGGAGGAACAUCAGUGGCGAAGGCGGCUGCCUGGACCAAGACUGACGCUGAGGUACGAAAGCGUGGGGAGCAAACA